GGGUUGUGAGGUUAAGCGACUAAGCGUACACGGUGGAUGCCCUGGCAGUCAGAGGCGAUGAAGGACGUGCUAAUCUGCGAUAAGCGCCGGUAAGGUGAUAUGAACCGUUAUAACCGGCGAUUUCCGAAUGGGGAAACCCAGUGUGAUUCGUCACACUAUCAUUAACUGAAUCCAUAGGUUAAUGAGGCGAACCGGGGGAACUGAAACAUCUAAGUACCCCGAGGAAAAGAAAUCAACCGAGAUUCCCCCAGUAGCGGCGAGCGAACGGGGAGGAGCCCAGAGCCUGAAUCAGCAUGUGUGUUAGUGGAAGCGUCUGGAAAGGCGCGCGAUACAGGGUGACAGCCCCGUACACAAAAGCGCAUGUGCUGUGAGCUCGAUGAGUAGGGCGGGACACGUGGUAUCCUGUCUGAAUAUGGGGGGACCAUCCUCCAAGGCUAAAUACUCCUGACUGACCGAUAGUGAACCAGUACCGUGAGGGAAAGGCGAAAAGAACCCCGGCGAGGGGAGUGAAAAAGAACCUGAAACCGUGUACGUACAAGCAGUGGGAGCACCCUUCGGGGUGUGACUGCG
RNAcentral lists this ribosomal RNA (570 nucleotides) under Salmonella enterica subsp. enterica serovar Typhimurium. RNAcentral describes it as "partial 23S ribosomal RNA". It matches the Rfam family "Bacterial large subunit ribosomal RNA", at positions 1 to 601 of the family's 2925-position model. Lineage: Bacteria; Pseudomonadati; Pseudomonadota; Gammaproteobacteria; Enterobacterales; Enterobacteriaceae. The record is from RNAcentral. RNAcentral also lists the same sequence under 1 other name.